AUCCCCUACAACUAGCCCAACCCCUCAAAACCAACAAACCAAAUUCAUACCCCCCAACAAAGACCUAAAUAUUCUACUAAAACAUUCUUCCCCCCUAGUACGUGAGACAGAAAAGGAACCCCAAGGCGCCAUAGAUAAAGUACCGCAAGGGAAAUCUGAAAGAGAGCUGAAAAAGCCCAGUUAAGGACUAAAAAGCAGAGAUUCAACCUCGUACCUUUUGCAUCAUGAUUUAGCAAGCAAGACUCAAGCAAAGUGACCUUUAUGUUUGAGCCCCCGAAACUAAGCGAGCUACUCCAAGACAGCCUUUUUAGGGCGAACCCGUCUCUGUGGCAAAAGAGUGGGAAGAACUUUGAGUAGAGGUGACAGACCUACCGAGCUUAGUUAUAGCUGGUUGCCUGAGAACUGAAUAUGAGUUCAACCUUUUGAGAUACUAACUCCAACAAAAUAGAAUACUUUCCCCAGGAUUAAAGUAACCAAAAGAUAUAGUCAAGAGAGGAACAGCUCUCUUGAAAAAAAGAAACAACUUUUAAAGAAGGUUAAAGAUCAAAAUGUCCAAGGCCACGCACCCGAGUGGGCCUGAAAGCAGCCACCUCUAAAGAAAGCGUCAAAGCUCAAGUGCAAGCCUCCCCCUUUAAUUCCGAUUAACACAUCUCAAACCCCUUAAAUAUAUCAGGCCGCUCCAUGCAGUACAUGGAAGAGAUAAUGCUAAUAUGAGUAAUCAGAGGGCCAGACCCUCUCAAACACAGCCUUGUAAAUCAGAACGAACCCACACUGAAAAUUAACGUCCCCAAUAACAGAGGGUAUUGAGACAAGUAACUAAACAAUCAAGAAAUGUCCUCAACCACAAACGUUACCCCUACACAGGCCUGCUAUACGAAAGACAAAAAGAGGGAGAAGGAACUCGGCAAACACUAGCCUCGCCUGUUUACCAAAAACACCGCCUCUUGCUUAAUCCAGUAUAAGAGGUCCCGCCUGCCCUGUGACGGAAGUUUAACGGCCGCGGUAUCUUGACCGUGCGAAGGUAGCGCAAUCAAUUGUUUUUUAAAUGGAGACCUGUAUGAAUGGCAUAACGAGGGCUAAACUGUCUCCUUUCUCUUGUCAAUGAAAUUGAUCUUCCCGUGCAGAAGCGGGAAUACACCCAUAAGACGAGAAGACCCUAUGGAGCUUUAGACACCAAGGCACUCUGCACAACCCUGCCCCCACUCGCUCAGGAUCAAGCUGACCACUGCCCCUAUGUCUUUGGUUGGGGCGACCACGGAGAAAUAACUAACCCCCGAGAGGAAAGGGAAACCCCCUAUGUUAGAACCACUAUUCUCGCAAUCAGAAAAUCUGACCUAAAUGAUCCGGCUUACACCGAUCAACGGACCUAGUUACCCUAGGGAUAACAGCGCAAUCCACUCCGAGAGCCCAUAUCGACGAGGGGGUUUACGACCUCGAUGUUGGAUCAGGACAUCCUAUUGGUGCAGCCGCUAUUAAGGGUUC
This 1482-nucleotide ribosomal RNA is filed under the name Lophogobius cristulatus (Pacific crested-goby). Its description in RNAcentral is "partial 16S ribosomal RNA". It matches the Rfam family "Bacterial large subunit ribosomal RNA", at positions 370 to 2574 of the family's 2925-position model. Lineage: Eukaryota; Metazoa; Chordata; Actinopteri; Gobiiformes; Gobiidae. The record is from RNAcentral.